Molecule: ribosomal RNA, 1556 nt
Filed under: Salmonella enterica subsp. enterica
Lineage: Bacteria; Pseudomonadati; Pseudomonadota; Gammaproteobacteria; Enterobacterales; Enterobacteriaceae
Also listed under: 5 other names
Description: bacterial SSU rRNA
Rfam family: Bacterial small subunit ribosomal RNA
Source: RNAcentral
UUAAAUUGAAGAGUUUGAUCAUGGCUCAGAUUGAACGCUGGCGGCAGGCCUAACACAUGCAAGUCGAACGGUAACAGGAAGCAGCUUGCUGCUUCGCUGACGAGUGGCGGACGGGUGAGUAAUGUCUGGGAAACUGCCUGAUGGAGGGGGAUAACUACUGGAAACGGUGGCUAAUACCGCAUAACGUCGCAAGACCAAAGAGGGGGACCUUCGGGCCUCUUGCCAUCAGAUGUGCCCAGAUGGGAUUAGCUUGUUGGUGAGGUAACGGCUCACCAAGGCGACGAUCCCUAGCUGGUCUGAGAGGAUGACCAGCCACACUGGAACUGAGACACGGUCCAGACUCCUACGGGAGGCAGCAGUGGGGAAUAUUGCACAAUGGGCGCAAGCCUGAUGCAGCCAUGCCGCGUGUAUGAAGAAGGCCUUCGGGUUGUAAAGUACUUUCAGCGGGGAGGAAGGUGUUGUGGUUAAUAACCGCAGCAAUUGACGUUACCCGCAGAAGAAGCACCGGCUAACUCCGUGCCAGCAGCCGCGGUAAUACGGAGGGUGCAAGCGUUAAUCGGAAUUACUGGGCGUAAAGCGCACGCAGGCGGUCUGUCAAGUCGGAUGUGAAAUCCCCGGGCUCAACCUGGGAACUGCAUUCGAAACUGGCAGGCUUGAGUCUUGUAGAGGGGGGUAGAAUUCCAGGUGUAGCGGUGAAAUGCGUAGAGAUCUGGAGGAAUACCGGUGGCGAAGGCGGCCCCCUGGACAAAGACUGACGCUCAGGUGCGAAAGCGUGGGGAGCAAACAGGAUUAGAUACCCUGGUAGUCCACGCCGUAAACGAUGUCUACUUGGAGGUUGUGCCCUUGAGGCGUGGCUUCCGGAGCUAACGCGUUAAGUAGACCGCCUGGGGAGUACGGCCGCAAGGUUAAAACUCAAAUGAAUUGACGGGGGCCCGCACAAGCGGUGGAGCAUGUGGUUUAAUUCGAUGCAACGCGAAGAACCUUACCUGGUCUUGACAUCCACGGAAGUUUUCAGAGAUGAGAAUGUGCCUUCGGGAACCGUGAGACAGGUGCUGCAUGGCUGUCGUCAGCUCGUGUUGUGAAAUGUUGGGUUAAGUCCCGCAACGAGCGCAACCCUUAUCCUUUGUUGCCAGCGAUUAGGUCGGGAACUCAAAGGAGACUGCCAGUGAUAAACUGGAGGAAGGUGGGGAUGACGUCAAGUCAUCAUGGCCCUUACGACCAGGGCUACACACGUGCUACAAUGGCGCAUACAAAGAGAAGCGACCUCGCGAGAGCAAGCGGACCUCAUAAAGUGCGUCGUAGUCCGGAUUGGAGUCUGCAACUCGACUCCAUGAAGUCGGAAUCGCUAGUAAUCGUGGAUCAGAAUGCCACGGUGAAUACGUUCCCGGGCCUUGUACACACCGCCCGUCACACCAUGGGAGUGGGUUGCAAAAGAAGUAGGUAGCUUAACCUUCGGGAGGGCGCUUACCACUUUGUGAUUCAUGACUGGGGUGAAGUCGUAACAAGGUAACCGUAGGGGAACCUGCGGUUGGAUCACCUCCUUACCUUAAAGAAGC